ACGAACGCUGGCGGCGUGCUUCACACCUGCAAGUCGAACGGAAAGGCCCUUCGGGGUACUCGAGUGGCGAACGGGUGAGUAACACGUGGGUGAUCUGCCCUGCACUUUGGGAUAAGCCUGGGAAACUGGGUCUAAUACCGAAUAGGACCACGCGCUUCAUGGUGUGUGGUGGAAAGCUUUUGCGGUGUGGGAUGGGCCCGCGGCCUAUCAGCUUGUUGGUGGGGUAAUGGCCUACCAAGGCGACGACGGGUAGCCGGCCUGAGAGGGUGACCGGCCACACUGGGACUGAGAUACGGCCCAGACUCCUACGGGAGGCAGCAGUGGGGAAUAUUGCACAAUGGGCGCAAGCCUGAUGCAGCGACGCCGCGUGAGGGAUGACGGCCUUCGGGUUGUAAACCUCUUUCAAUAGGGACGAAGCGCAAGUGACGGUACCUAUAGAAGAAGCACCGGCCAACUACGUG
Molecule: ribosomal RNA, 461 nt
Filed under: uncultured bacterium
Lineage: Bacteria
Description: partial 16S ribosomal RNA
Rfam family: Bacterial small subunit ribosomal RNA
Source: RNAcentral